RNAcentral lists this ribosomal RNA (492 nucleotides) under uncultured bacterium. RNAcentral's name for it is "partial 16S ribosomal RNA". It matches the Rfam family "Bacterial small subunit ribosomal RNA", at positions 29 to 507 of the family's 1533-position model. The record is from RNAcentral.
AGUGAACGCUGGCGGUAGGCCUAACACAUGCAAGUCGAACGGCAGCACAGUAAGAGCUUGCUCUUACGGGUGGCGAGUGGCGGACGGGUGAGGAAUACAUCGAAAUCUACUUUUUCGUGGGGGAUAACGUAGGGAAACUUACGCUAAUACCGCAUACGACCUACGGGUGAAAGCAGGGGAUCUUCGGACCUUGCGCGAUUGAAUGAGCCGAUGUCGGAUUAGCUAGUUGGCGGGGUAAAGGCCCACCAAGGCGACGAUCCGUAGCUGGUCUGAGAGGAUGAUCAACCACACUGGAAAUGAGACACGGUCCAGACUCCUACGGGAGGCAGCAGUGGGGAAUAUUGGACAAUGGGCGCAAGCCUGAUCCAGCCAUACCGCGUGGGUGAAGAAGGCCUUCGGGUUGUAAAGCCCUUUUGUUGGGAAAGAAAGGCAGCAGGUUAAUACCCCGCUGUUCUGACGGUACCCAAAGAAUAAGCACCGGCUAACUUCGUG